AUUUUCUCACCAUAAAGCAUGAAAAAUGAAAUGUUAAUAAGUAAAUUUCUAAAUUUUAGCUUCAACUGCUGCAAUAUAAUUUUCCUGUUACAUCAACAAGGAUCAACAAGUUUCCAUUAGAAUAAAGAUAAAUAUAUUCACAUCUGUGCACAUGUUUAUUGAGA
Long non-coding RNA from Bradysia coprophila, 164 nucleotides. The record is from RefSeq and is a predicted model, not a curated record. Lineage: Eukaryota; Metazoa; Arthropoda; Insecta; Diptera; Sciaridae.